This 496-nucleotide ribosomal RNA is filed under the name uncultured bacterium. Its description in RNAcentral is "partial 16S ribosomal RNA". It matches the Rfam family "Bacterial small subunit ribosomal RNA", at positions 28 to 506 of the family's 1533-position model. The record is from RNAcentral.
GAUGAACGCUGGCGGCGUGCCUAAUACAUGCAAGUCGAGCGAACGGACGAGAAGCUUGCUUCUCUGAUGUUAGCGGCGGACGGGUGAGUAACACGUGGAUAACCUACCUAUAAGACUGGGAUAACUUCGGGAAACCGGAGCUAAUACCGGAUAAUAUUUUGAACCGCAUGGUUCAAAAGUGAAAGACGGUCUUGCUGUCACUUAUAGAUGGAUCCGCGCUGCAUUAGCUAGUUGGUAAGGUAACGGCUUACCAAGGCAACGAUGCAUAGCCGACCUGAGAGGGUGAUCGGCCACACUGGAACUGAGACACGGUCCAGACUCCGACGGGAGGCAGCAGUAGGGAAUCUUCCGCAAUGGGCGAAAGCCUGACGGAGCAACGCCGCGUGAGUGAUGAAGGUCUUCGGAUCGUAAAACGCUGUUAUUAGGGAAGAACAUAUGUGUAAGUAACUGUGCACAUCUUGACGGUACCGAAUCAGAAAGCCACGGCUAACUACGU